CUGGAUUGUACUGCCCUGGGUGUCUAAAAGUCUGGUGUUUUUUUCUUUCUUCCUUUGAGUAGUUCUGAAUAGCAUUGAAGAAGCUUAAAACAGGAAGAAAACCUGCCUUUUCAAUCAAGUUUAUUUAUAGCUACUCCCCCCUCCAAAAAAAAAAAGUAAAAGAAAAAUGUAACUUUCUCAUAACGUUAGACUUAACUUAUUUUUCUCUGAAGAUUUGUUCUGUGCCUUGAUGUGAAC
Molecule: long non-coding RNA, 237 nt
Filed under: Homo sapiens (human)
Lineage: Eukaryota; Metazoa; Chordata; Mammalia; Primates; Hominidae
Description: HSALNT0107551
Source: RNAcentral